UGGAAUGUAGCUCAAUGGUAGAGUGCUUGCCUAGCAUGCACAAGGGCCUGAGUUCAAUCCCCAGCACAAUAA
This 72-nucleotide transfer RNA is filed under the name Heterocephalus glaber (naked mole-rat). It matches the Rfam family "tRNA". From Rfam's summary of the family: Transfer RNA (tRNA) molecules are approximately 80 nucleotides in length. Their secondary structure includes four short double-helical elements and three loops (D, anti-codon, and T loops). Lineage: Eukaryota; Metazoa; Chordata; Mammalia; Rodentia; Bathyergidae. The record is from Rfam by way of RNAcentral.